UUUAGGUUAAGUAUGUUUAUUUAGACUACUUAUAUUAACAUAAUAUUAUUAUUUUUUGUUUUAAUUGACGUUUAUCAAAAAAGUUGAUUGGAAGAGUUUGUUAAGGAUUUCAAUGAUUCCACCCACAAGAUUAUAAAAAAAUCAAACAAAUUUUGUUGUCAACUUGAGAAAAGUGAUAGGCUAACCCACUGUAAAUAAAUAAAGUUUUGUAGCCGUAAAUAAUUAAUGUAUUUUCUAUUUACAGAAAUGAAAUUGUCACCUAAAGUUGGAAUAGGAUUAAAACGCCUUGGAAAUCAGAAUUUGAUUGCUUCUGAUUCUUUCAAGAAAUUAGUAGAGAUCUCGCCAGAUAUUGUUCUUAAAAAUCAUGGAUCACAUAAAACAGAUCUGAAAGAGCUGUGCACGUCGAAGUCGGACAUUGUGAAGGAAUGUUUCGCUGCACUACUCAUCCUGCUUGUCGAAGCUGCAAGUCACGACCUCGACGAUAAGAGCUUUCGUUCAGUGGUGGAGUCCUACAACUUCAAUCCAGACCGUCUGAAACUGCUCACUGAUGUCUAUGAAAAGCGAAAAAAGGAUCUGAGGAGUGUGCUUUUCAGACUACAACAUUCCAUUCCACAGAUAAUUGAUGUUAGCUGGAGAUUGGACUUCUGUAUAAAAAUUCCAUAUCAUGCUGACUGUUACUUUUCAAUAAAAUACUCACAUCAUCAGCGUAUAAAACACAGUGUGCUGGUUCAAGGUGUGGUGGCAAGUCAUUAAUAUAUAGAAGGAAAAGCAAAGGACCAAGGACUGAUCCAUGAGGGACCCCACUCCUCACCAUUCCGACUGAUACACAAAAGGUCAAGCACAUGCAGUGAUAACUUCCCCAUAUUCUUCAUACAACUGAUUGGAGAAGCUGCUACAGACAAUACAUCAGGUGGCAUAAUUAUAAAGAAAUACAAUUUCCUUUGUUCCCUGGAAGAAUUAGAAGAACUUGUUAGUGGGCUAAAAGAUGCCACCAGACAUAUAGAGUCUUUAGCUGGAAUUAAAUAGUAAUCCAAUUUCUUAAAUAAAUACCUAUAUAAUAAUAAUACCUAAUAAUACCUAAAUAAGUAAUUUCCUAUUUCAUUUUUUAUGAUAAUUAGCCUCAGUUGUAUUGUAAUUUGUAAAUAAAUUUUUCAUAGCUAAAUUGAAAUAUAGUU
Molecule: unclassified non-coding RNA, 1175 nt
Filed under: Nilaparvata lugens (brown planthopper)
Lineage: Eukaryota; Metazoa; Arthropoda; Insecta; Hemiptera; Delphacidae
Description: cOMM domain-containing protein 3, transcript variant X1
Source: RNAcentral